CGGGUAUAGUUCAAUGGUAGAACGUGUGCUUCCCAAGCAUAUAAUGCGGGUUCGAUUCCCGUUACCC
This 67-nucleotide transfer RNA is filed under the name human gut metagenome. It matches the Rfam family "tRNA". Rfam says of the family: Transfer RNA (tRNA) molecules are approximately 80 nucleotides in length. Their secondary structure includes four short double-helical elements and three loops (D, anti-codon, and T loops). RNAcentral also lists the same sequence under 1 other name. The record is from RNAcentral.